Molecule: transfer RNA, 62 nt
Filed under: Stenocladius sp. 2 XYG-2023a
Lineage: Eukaryota; Metazoa; Arthropoda; Insecta; Coleoptera; Lampyridae
Description: tRNA-Tyr
Rfam family: tRNA
About the family: Transfer RNA (tRNA) molecules are approximately 80 nucleotides in length.
Source: RNAcentral
AGUAAAAUGGCUGAAUUAAGCGAUAAAUUGUAAAUUUAUUAAUGAUUUUAAAUCUUUUACUA